AGUCGAGGGGCAGCAUGGUCUUAGCUUGCUAAGGCUGAUGGCGACCGGCGCACGGGUGAGUAACACGUAUCCAACCUGCCGUCUACUCUUGGCCAGCCUUCUGAAAGGAAGAUUAAUCCAGGAUGGCAUCAUGAGUUCACAUGUCCGCAUGAUUAAAGGUAUUUUCCGGUAGACGAUGGGGAUGCGUUCCAUUAGAUAGUAGGCGGGGUAACGGCCCACCUAGUCAACGAUGGAUAGGGGUUCUGAGAGGAAGGUCCCCCACAUUGGAACUGAGACACGGUCCAAACUCCUACGGGAGGCAGCAGUGAGGAAUAUUGGUCAAUGGGCGAUGGCCUGAACCAGCCAAGUAGCGUGAAGGAUGACUGCCCUAUGGGUUGUAAACUUCUUUUAUAAAGGAAUAAAGUCGGGUAUGCAUACCCGUUUGCAUGUACUUUAUGAAUAAGGAUCGGCUAACUCCGUGCCAGCAGCCGCGGUAAUACGGAGGAUCCGAGCGUUAUCCGGAUUUAUUGGGUUUAAAGGGAGCGUAGAUGGAUGUUUAAGUCAGUUGUGAAAGUUUGCGGCUCAACCGUAAAAUUGCAGUUGAUACUGGAUGUCUUGAGUGCAGUUGAGGCAGGCGGAAUUCGUGGUGUAGCGGUGAAAUGCUUAGAUAUCACGAAGAACUCCGAUUGCGAAGGCAGCCUGCUAAGCUGCAACUGACAUUGAGGCUCGAAAGUGUGGGUAUCAAACAGGAUUAG
Molecule: ribosomal RNA, 734 nt
Filed under: uncultured bacterium
Lineage: Bacteria
Description: bacterial SSU rRNA
Rfam family: Bacterial small subunit ribosomal RNA
Source: RNAcentral